Long non-coding RNA from Panicum virgatum (switchgrass), 418 nucleotides. RefSeq lists it as uncharacterized. Lineage: Eukaryota; Viridiplantae; Streptophyta; Magnoliopsida; Poales; Poaceae. The record is from RefSeq and is a predicted model, not a curated record. The transcript is spliced from 3 exons.
UUUGACAAUUACAAUACAAAAGGAAAUUGCAAAAGCUUAGUUUCUUAUCUGCUUAUUUUCUCUAAUAUGCAAACUUGCUUUUCAGAUAUUAGAUGAUAAGCGGUUUCUUGUGAUCAGGCGUCGGUAUGAGACAUGGCGGGAACCAAAACUAAAGAACAAAGGUGCCCCAAUGAGGACGAUGGAAGAUUUAGAGAACACGACCAGGGAUGCAGUUGGCACCGAUACAAACCAUCCAUCACGCCUGCGGUCAAGAGAGUCUGGGCUUUCAAAGGAGAAGUAUGAUGAGAGCAAAUAUGAAUGUGAGGCUUCAAAGCAGCAAAGAGAAGUCCUUAAGCUGUCAAGAGAUUUUGAAUCGUUAACGACAAAGGAUGAAAAGAGUGGUUCAAGUGAGGCAGGCCAUGCCGCACACCCACUGGAU